This 19235-nucleotide long non-coding RNA is filed under the name Gossypium raimondii (Peruvian cotton). RNAcentral's name for it is "long non-coding RNA (GRAI_LNC007875)". The record is from RNAcentral. Lineage: Eukaryota; Viridiplantae; Streptophyta; Magnoliopsida; Malvales; Malvaceae.
GAGAGAUCAAGUGAAACCAAUUUUGACAGGUGGGAGACUUGGGAUGGGACUUCUCCUGCAAACCCUGUAUAAGAAAGGUUGAGGUAGAAUAGGCUUGUAAACCGACCGAACUCGGAUGGAAUUUUGGAAAGAUUAAAAUCAUUGUAGGCAAGGUUGAGUUUUUGAAGGUGAGGAAGAAGGAAGAGAGUGGUAUUGGAAGGGAAGUUGCCAUAUAGCCAACUGCAGCUCAAAUCAAGGGCAAUAACAUGAGCAUUUAGGUGGUCACAAGUGACCCCAUCCCAUGAGCAGCAAUCUGUACCCUCCUUCCAUGAAUUUGUCAUGGGGUAAGAUUUAAGGCCAGCAAUCCCAUCGCAAUAUAAAGUAGGAAGCAUUGUCUGAGUAAUGGAAAAAGAAUUCUUGAACUGGAUUAGUGAAGCAGCUUCAGGGUGAGAGCAGGAGUGAGAUCCUGAAGAAGCAGCAUAAAGAUGGGGAAAGAAGAGGAAUAGGCAGAGAAAGAGGUAGGAGGCCAUGUUAUGUUUAUAGAGGAAGAUGAAGGAUAGGAAUGGUACUUAUAGGCAACAAAUAAUACCACAACAUUGUAGUCUUCUUUUUACCAUAUAUUUUCCAUUCUUAAAAUUUGAUGUUUUUCUUUUAGCAAAAUAUUGUAUUUCAUUUGAAGUCCUAAACAACUAAAAAAAUUAAGAUUGAUGAGAUUACAAAGUAGAUUGACUUAGUCUUCUUUCCUAUAACACUUAAAGAAUGUCUUGUCAACCAAAGUUAAUUAAUGUGAAAAUUCUUUUUUACACAAAAGAACAAAAUUGUGCUCUAUUCACUACGUUAGAGGAAGAAGACUGCUAGAUUUUUUAAUUAUUUUUUCUUUGAAAAAUUUGAGAGUUUUUUACUGCCAUAAGCCAAUAAAAAAAAACAUGUAUUAAUUUUAUUUUUAAAAAUUGUGUGUUUGAUUGUGAAAUAAUUCAUCGUCCUCCACCACAAACUAUCCAUGUUUGCUGUGUGAAAGCAGGUACUUCCAUAAAGAAAUUACUAAGGAGAUGGGAUUCACCAAUUUUACCUAAACUCGCAUCAACAUUGUUUAGUGCUCCCUCAAUUUCACAUCAAUGCAUUCAAUUUCAAAAUAGGUUACCAAGACUACAAUAUCUAUUCACUUGGUCUUGCUUCCUAUCACUGUCAACCAAACUUGAUCGACUAGCAGUAGGGAAAUUUCAGUCAUUUGCAGUAUAAUGUACAAGAAUUACACUCCCACAAAAUAAUUUACAAUAUGGACUAACACUCCUUUGUUUCACUAAAAAUAAUUUUUAAAAAACGAUUUUUAGAAAGUAAUUUUUGAAAAAUGGUUAAAAGAUAAUUUUUGUUUCUGAAAUAGUUAAUUUUUUUUGGUGUUUAGAUAAAUUUGUGUAAAAUAUUUUUUGAUGUUUAAAAAAAUUCGAGAAAAUAUUUCAUAAAAGUUGUCUUUAAUGAAAUCAACAUAUAUUUGAAAUUUUGUUAUGUUUUCAUUGUUUACUUAAGUUUAUUUCAUAAAGCCUAUUUAUAUUUUAAUUAAUCAUAUUUUAGUUUUAAUUAAUUUUAAUUUACUUAAUUAAGCUUAAUUGUUAAUUUCGUACAUUAGAAUAUAAAUUUAUGUUUAAUUAAGUUGAAAGUGAUAAAUAUUUAUUUUGAAUAUUAUUUGGAUAAGUUGAAAAUGAUUUAAUUUGAUAAAAUUGAAGUCAGGGCCAUAGAACUAUGAUUUUUACUGACAAAAUCUUGGAUGCAGAGAUCAUUGAGACUAAAAAAUGAAAGUCAUGAAAGAAGACAUAAAUAGUUGAACCAUACAAAAUGUUACAUUUAAAACAAACCCUUACAAAUACUACCUAAUGCAAUGAAAUAUAGAUGAAUUGUUACAAUAACAAAGACAGAUGCAUGGCAAUGCAACCUUUCACCAUGGGAAAAAAUUUGACGGACUUCAAAACAAGAAAUUAUGAAGAUACAACGUACACACUUGAACAUCAUUUCCACGAACUAGAUCCUUCUUUGUCCAUUGCUGCGACUGCCAUCCUUUGACUUUCUUCUUCGCUUCUUCUCAUGUUGGAUUUCAACCAAAUUCACCAACCAUUUUGGCUUACCAAUUUGGAAAACAACAUAUCCCAUGACCAUUCCAAACACUACUCCGCAUCCAAAACCUAUCAACACCAAUUUCCAACCAAAAGAGAUGUUUGAUUUUGAACCAUCAUUUUCAAGCACAUUUGGAGGUGGUGGCUCAAUGAUUUGCAUCCUUUUGAGACCGGAAAUCCACAUAAUCCCUAGUUUCCUUCAUAUGAAUCAUUUCCAUAUGUGUUGAACUGUUUGCCUUGAGGAAUCUGACCAUGGAGUUGAUUUUCAGAAACAUUGAAGGACGAAAGAAAUGCCAAAUCUGCAAAUCUAUUUGGAAUUGUCCCAGACAACCUGUUUGAAGAUAGGUCCAACCAUUCAAGACUUGUCAAAUUCAUACCACAAUUAUAAACACUGUCAUAUGACAUGAAUAACAUACCCACAUAUUUACUGUCACAUGGCAUGAAAAACACACCCUCAUAUUCACUUUCACAUCAGUCAUCAUAAGCUUAUAACAUAUGUCAUAGCAAUCUAAUAUAUGUUCAUAAUUUCACAAUUUCACAAGCGUACAUGUAUCACAUUUAAUCAUAUGCACGAGAAAACUUACUCACUUACUCUCGAAAUUUAGUGUAGGGGCUUAGGCUACCAUUAAAUUCUCAAUUACACAAUGAAUCAUCUACGAGCAAUGAUUCCAAAACACUCAUAGAUAUCAACUUUAGCCAAAAAUCGAGAGCUUGAACUAGCUCUUCCUCUAACUCGUAGAAGGCUCUAAUGAAUCCGAGGCUUCACACAUGACAAUCACACAAUACCCACAGUCAAAUGACAGCCAAGCACCCACUUAAACUAACCAAAACACAAGCCUAAGCUACCUUCUCAUGUAACCAAACACUUUAGCAUGACGAACUUAAAAUGCAAAUAUAUCGAUCUACACUUAACAUUUUUGCAUGAAACAAGUUUCAAUCAUCCCCAUAUUUAUCUAUAAUUAAACUCAUACAAAACUGAACGUUUUAAGGUAUCGAUAUUUUUCAACAUGUUUGGCCAUAAUAAUGAAAAUUCAUUAAAAGGCGAGAAAUUGUUAAUGAAACUUGUAAGUAAUUUUAGAAACUUUCUAAUCAAGUUAAAACAAGUUGAAAAACACUUUCAAAUCACAUUUUUAUCCACAAUCUCAAAUUCCACUAUUAAUGAUCCAAUUUUUGAGUUUUAAUUAAAACAUGCAAUUUCAUAACUAAAAAACUCAAUUUUAAAGUCUAAAUAACUUUAAAAAUUAAUGGUAAAGUAAAUGGUUACAUUUGAUGGAAGAUUAAACGAGUUUUGACUAAAUUUGAAAAACCCACUAUUGAAGAUGAUGAUGAAAUCUCUGGAGUUUUUGAGUGUUUUUCCUGGAGAAUUAUGAAGGUAAUUGACUUGGGAAUUAUAAGAAAUCAAAGUAUUAUUGUUUGGGAAUAAAAAAUCAAUUGAAAGAUAAAGGGAAUAGCAAAGGACGGCAAUAGCAAACUUUGGAGAGUAACCAUCGUGAAAUAGAACUGGGAUUGGGGUUUAUUAGGUUCAAUUUUAAAAAUUGGUAAAACUGCAAUAUAAGUGCUCACUAUUUUAACUUUGUUACAAAUUAUUCCCUUUUUUUUUUUUCUAAAAUUUAGGAAUUUAAAACUUAUUUUCAGAAAUUGACUCAAUUCCCUAAUGGCCAUUGUCGAAAACAUUGUCGAAUACCAAGCUUACGAAAUUUUGAGCACAUAUAGGCUAAAAUUCCUAAAAUACACUCGAAAUUCUUCGACCCUAUUUUGGGGUGUUACACACAUGGUCAUGAUUCGUGUUGAAUUAAUCCAUCAUUCACCGUAAUAAGACUUGUCGUUGUAAUAAUUUAUUUUGAUAUGUAUUAUUUUAUGAUGCAUAAACAUCAUAAAUUUUUAUAUUAUGAAAUAAUAUAAUUAGUUAAAUCAUCUAAUAUCUAAAAAAUAAUUAUUAUUUUAAUAAAAUCAUUCAUCAAAUUUUUGUUUUCAAAUUUCAUACAUGAAAUUAACAAAUAAAGAUAGCUCUAAAUAGCAAAACAUGGUAGGAUGGUUUUUUUGUGCAAACUUAGGAUUUCAAUUCUCAUCAAGGAACUUGCAAGCCUAUUAUAGUAGAAAUGUUUUAUCCAAACGAUAAAGAUGUUGAUGCAACAUUUUAGAUUGCAAAUUCCUUGCUCACAUUUGGAAUCCUAACCACAGGGACUUGCAAGCCUAUUAGCUCCAGGAACUUUAGAUUGUACUUGCAAAUUCCUUGCUCACAUUUGGAAUUCUAUUCUGGUUCAUCUCAUUGAAUACAUCAAAUGGAGGAUCAAUACGCUGAAAACGGAUCAAAUCCCUUGCAAUGUUGUUUGGAUCACAACAGCUCAUCUUUCAAUCCUAGAUGGCUCCGCCAAUUUCUUGAAAGCAUACAUAAACUGUUAAAGAAAUAAAUGGAUAAAACAACUACAGGAUAGAAGGCUGAAAAUUUACGAAGGGCAAUGACCUUAAUGUUAAAAUUCCAACGUCCAUUCCUUGGAAAGAUAUCUUCACCAUUGCCCACUCAAGAGAACUCAAAUAGCAGCAAGAUCUAGAAUAAAAUGUAACCCUCAACAACACACAAAUGUUUGUUCUGUCAAGGAACAAUACACAGACAUAUUCACCUACCGUUGGUGCUGGCAGAAUAUGCCCAUUCACUUGGGUGAAAUUAGAGUUGAUAUUAACCCCACAAGAUUUCUGCACCAUAAUUACUGCUAAGUAAAACCUGCACAUAAAUUUUCAUUCUUCACUAGAAACUGAAACUAUUUUUGUAAGUAAAAAUUAGUUGUAUUCAUUCUUCGCAUAAUUGAUCUUUUGUUGUGGAAGUAUUGUAUUUCCGGUAAUCCAUUAAGUAUUCAGUGUUUGAUACAAUAGAUUUGCAUUUUACUAUUGUAUUUUGUGGAAGGAACCUUUACCUAUUUUGUUUUUUGCAUUUCUGAUUAGUUUACAUUUUUCAGUAAUUAAUUUAUGUUGUUUUUGCCAAACUUUGUAGCGUUUCACUUUUGGUAAAAUUUCACCCUUGGUCCCUUUAAACUCCUUCUUGCUUUAAUUUGAUUGCUUUCUAGCGUUGCAAAUUACAUAACAUUCUUCAAAUGUCUUACUAAAUUCUCACUUUUACGAGUGCUAUGAUAAUCAAUUAAAAUUCAAUUCAGUUUUAAGUUCAAUAUAACACUUACAUGGCUACAAAAUGUGUCCUUAACCCCAAACAAUCCAAAUUUGCAGAGAAACCACCCAUUAUAUAUAGGUUUGCCAAUGAGACGGCAAGCAGACUGCUAGCUAGAAAUUCAUGCAUCUUUGAAUCACCAAUUCAAUUAAUAAGCUUAAGUAAAGGAAAUAAGGACUUUACAUCCUCCAAUUAAAGCAACCUAUAUGUACCCUUUUACAGUCUGCAUUGUUCCAUGUUUCAAUUCAUUACAUCAUUCCUUCAACUCUGCUAUAUAUUAUUACCGUCUCCAGAUAACCAAACCUUUUACUGCUAACUUGUAAAAAAAAUUAUGAAAAUACAACAGAGAUCAUUGACACAUUGUUGAAGUUGGCUUGCAGGCAGACCAAGAAGCAGACCAAGCUGUCCGAGCCAUGCAAGCUGCAGCUGAAGCUUAUGCUGCCGUUUUGCUACUUUCAAAUAGAUAUUUUAUUACUUAGUUAGAUAUGAACUAAGUUGUUGAUAUGCCUGAUGUAAUUAGGUGCUGAUAGAUUGAUAAAUCAGCUUUACCAAGUGUACCAAGUUACUAAGCCACAUAGUGGAGUUAGGUAUGUGUUUAGGUAACAUUUUCUUAUUUUUGACCAGCUGAUUGCUUGGUAUAUGUAAUGGCAGUGUGCCUUCAUUCAAACAUAAUGAAAUCUUUCAGAAAAAUCUUCUUCAUUUGGUCUUUACUUAAGCAUUUUUAUUCACAAAGCUCUUGCUGUUUUUGUUUUGUUUGUUGAGCAAGAUAUCAAUGCUUUAUGCUUAAGUUUCUGUCAAAAUUUCUCAUUCUGUUUUCUUAGUUCCUACAGUCAUUUUGUUCUCCUUUCUCCUUUACUGAGCAGUAGCAAAGAUUAUUGAGACUAAAUUGAAAUCCAUGAAAGAAGACAUUAACAACACCACCAUACAAAAUGUCACACUCAAACAAACCAUUACUGAUAGUACGAAAUGCAAUGAAAGACAGAGGAAUUGGUACAAUAAUAAAGACAGACACAUACCAAUGCAACCCUUCACCAUAGGCAAAACGGUCUACAGAACAAGAAAUUAUAAAAAUACAACACUAAUUCUUGAACAUCAUUUGCAGUAAUUAGAUCCUUCUUCGUCUACUGCUGCGAUUGCCUUUCUUUGACUUUCUUCUUCGCCUCUUCUCAUGUUGGUUUUCAACCAAAUUCACCAACCAUUUUGGCUUUCCAGUUUGGAAAACAACAUAUCCCACGAACAUUCCGAACACUACUCCACAUCCAUAACCUAUCAACACCACUUUCCAACCAAAAGCAAUGUUUGAUUUUGAGCCAUCUUUUUCAAGCACAUUUAGAGGUGCUGGCUCAAUGAUGUUGCAACCUUUCGAGACCGGAAAUCCACAUAGUCCCUUAUUUCCUUCAUAUGAUUCAUUUCCAAAUGUGUUGAAUUGUUUUCCUUGAGGAAUCUGACCAUGGAGUUGAUUUUCAGAAAUAUUGAAGGACGAAAGAAAUGGCAGAUCUGCCAAUCUAUUUGGAAUCGUCCCAGACAACCUGUUUGAAGAUAGGUCCAACCAUUCAAGAUUUGUCAAAUUCCCUAUUGAAGUGGGGAUACCACCAUUAAGGUUAUUGUGAGAAAGGUUGAGCCCUUUCAGUAAGUUAAGCUUCCCAAUAACCUUUGGAAUCUCUCCUUCAAACUGAUUGUUUGAUAGAUCAAUGAUCAUCCACAUGGUGAAAAUUUUCACCAAUUCCAUAUAUUUUCCUUUCAUAAUAAUUCCAAUAGAAUAGGCAUAGAAGCCGCUAGUAUAAUCUCCCACACCCAUGUAUGGCCUUGCACUACCUUUUUUCUUGAGAUUUAUGAUAGCCUUGAAGCUGUUGAUGUAUCUCACUGGUAGGGGUCCAGAAAAAUAGUUACUUGAGAGGUCAAAAUUUUGGAUUUUAGAGAAGAAAGGGCUAGACUUGGGGCUAUUGACACGCAAAGAACCAUGCAUAUGAUUAGACUUCAAUACAAGAACUUGCAAAUAUGGAAGACUUCCCAACCAAUGAGGAAAUGUAUCAUUGAUCUUGUUGUUACCAAGAUCUAGCACUUCCAGACCUCUACAAUUAAGGAUGGAUGGUGUCAAUGGCCCUUCUAACAAAUUUCCAUUUAAGUUGAAAUUACUCAAUUGGCAUCCCUCUGCAAAUGUUGGAGGAAUCGUCCCAUAAAACUUGUUCUUCUUCAGAUUUAAGAAUUCAAGGCUGUUGCUCAAAUUUCCAAAACAUUGCGGAAUUGUUCCACUCAAGUUAUUGUGGGACAAAUCAAGAAUAAGAAGAGAAGUGACAUUGCAGAUUAAAGAAGAGACCUCUCCAUUGAAACUAUUAUUUGAGAUCAGAAAGACAUUGAUGGUCGAAGCUGGAAUCGGAAGAUUUCCACGGAUCAAAUUGGAGCUUAAGUCAAGAACUUCAAUAUUCUUCCAUGGAAAGUGCUCAACUUCUGUCAAAGAGUUGUGAGAUACGUUUAAGUAAGCCAAAGAGCCUUUCCCCACCUCUUGCAUCCACUGUGGAAUCUUGCCUUCAAUUUUGUUGCAAGAGAGGUCUAAGCGUUUCAAACUUUUAAGCCCUUCCAAAAAUUGGGGGAAUUCACUAAGAUUGCAAGAUGACAAACGUAAGUCCAUAAGAUUAGGCAAUAUAUGGUUAACACAAGAAGUAGUAUUAGAUGUUAAGGAUAGGCUAUUAUAUGAAAGGUCGAGAAGUUUUAGAGUUGGAAGGUUUGAGAACAUGCGAAACUCUAUGACACCACUAAGAUUAUUUGAGGAUAAAACGAGGCGGGUAAGAUUGAGAAGUUGGAAUAUAGAAGAUGGAAGAGGACCUUGGAGUUUAUUAUCGUUUAACCUUAUGAAUUCUAGUGAUUUGGAUUGGAAUUCUUUGAUAUGCCCACUGAAUUGAUUUUGAGAGAGAGAUAUUGUCUUUAAGGAGGGUGCAGUAUACAACCAUGACGGAAGUGUUCCGUUGAGUAAAUUGUCAAAUAAGUAUAAAUAUAUUAGAUUAGGAAAAGCGGUUACCUCAUCUGGAAUGGAACCUUCUAAAGAAUUAUUAUAUAUUCCCAAGUAUUCCAGCUGCGUUAGGUUUAGAAUUGAGAAUGGAAUUUGUCCACUCAAUUUGUUCCCGGACAAGUCUAAAUAAGUGAGUUGCAAGAGGUUCCCCAAUGAUCUUAGAAUUUGUCCACUCAGUUGGUUCCACGACAAGUCUAAAUGAGUGAGUUGCAAGAGGUUUCCCAAUGAUCUUGGAACCGUUUCUGAUAAGUUGGAAUUGGAGAGAUCUAAAAACUUCAAGGACACAAGAUUCCCCAUCGAGUCAGGCAAUCCUCCAAAAACAUUUGCUACUGAAAUUAUCAAUUGCUCCAAAGAUGAUAAAUUUGUGAUUGAGACAGACAAUCCUUGAAAGAAAGAAUUUUGUGAUAGAUCUAAGUACUUUAAGGCCGGUAGAUUGUCAACUGAAUCAAUGAAUUCUGUAGAGAAGGACAUGAAAGACAGAUCCAAAUGUUCAAGAUUGCUGCUCCGAUUCAACUUCAAAGGAUCAAGAUUGAGGUUUUGGUUGCCUCCCAAGUUGAGGAGAUUGAGGUUUGGCAAGUCAAAAAUGUUUUUUGGGAACUUUCCUUGCAAAUCACAAUAAGCAAGACUGAGAGACCUUAGAGAAGAGGAUAGAUUCAUGAAGACAUGAGCAUUAACAGAAGACAUGUCCAUUCCAUCCAAAAACAGAUGUCUGACCUCGGUUAGGUUGUGAACAAGUCCCUCCAGAGCAUGUUUGUCAAUUGUUUGCUCAUCAUCCCAAGAGGAGAGAUCAAGUGAAACCAAUUUUGACAGGCGGGAGACUUGGGAUGGGACUUCUCCUGCAAACCCUGUAUAAGAAAGGUUGAGGUAGAAUAGGCUUGUAAAGCGACCGAACUCGGAUGGAAUUUUGGAAAGAUUAAAAUCAUUGAAGGCAAGGUUGAGUUUUUGAAGGUGAGGAAGAAGGAAGAGAGUGGUAUUGGAAGGGAAGGUGCAAUAUAGCCAACUGCAGCUCAAGUCAAGGGCAAUAACAUGAGCAUUUAGGUGGUCACAAGUGACCCCAUCCCAUGAGCAGCAAUCUGUACCCUCCUUCCAUGAAUUUGUCUUGGGAUAAGAUUUAAGGCCAGCAAAAUCAUUGCAAUAAGAAGAAGCAUCCUCUAUUAUGGAAAAAGAGUUCUUGAACUGGAUUAAUGAAGAGCAGGAGUGAGAUCCUAAAGAAGAAAAAGAAGCAUAAAGAUGGGGAAAGAAGAGGAAGAGGCAGAGAAAGAGAUAGGAGGCCAUGUUAUGUUGGUAGAGGAAGAUGAAGGAUAGGAAUGGUAUUUAUAGGCAACAAAUAAUACCACAACAUUGGUGUUACAGUCUUUCUUUUCUUUUACAUUGAAAAGCUAUGGAUAUUAGAUUUUCAAAAUUUUUGUAUUUUUCACAAUCAUCAACAACCACUUAGUCCUUUUAUCAUAUAUUUUUCAUUCUUAAAAUUAGAUAUUAGAUUUUCAAAAUAUUUGUAUUUUUCAUUUGAACUCUCUAAACAACUCAAAAAAUUAAGAUUAACUUAGUCUUUUUUCUUAUAACACUUAAAGAAUGUGUGUAAUCUAUUCACAGGUUAACCAAAGCUAAGUAAUGUGGAAAUUCUUUUUCACACGAAAGAACAAAAUUGUGCUCUAUUCACUACGUUUGAGGAAGAAGACUGUUGGAAAUUUUAUUCACCGAUUCCAUAAAUUAAAACGUGUAUACUUAUAUAUAUAUAUUUAUAACCUCAUAAUUCAAAUCUAAAAUCUUAUUUGUUAUAAAUUCUAAUAAAUUUAUUUGGGAAUAGUUAUUUUUCAUUCGUUAAUUAUUUCUCUUUUAAUCAAGUAAAAAAUUAAAACUAAAAAGACAUAAUGAUUACUUUUACCCUUGAAACUUAUAUGGUUCGUUAAAUCACCCAUUGAUGACAUAUUAACCUUUGAGUUAAACUCAAAUUGCUCUUUCCUUUGUUAUAAAUUAAGAGUAUAACUAAUUUUGAUAAGAAUGGUUACUUUUCAUUAACACAGUUUAAAGGACCAUAACACGUAAACUUUGGUCUAUUGCAGAAUUCACAUGCAAUGCAGGACAUUUACAUUAUGCAGAAUUCAACACAUAUAUGGGAAUUUUUGUAUUUCCACAAUCAUCAUGUUUUUAGUGAUCAACAACUACUUCCUUUUUACCAUAUAUUUUUCAUUCAUAAAAUUGAUUACUUCUUUUUACCAAAGAAGUAAAAUAAUUAACAUUCCUGAGAUUACAAAGUCUUCUUCCUUAUAACACGUCAAAUUUGGUCCCAAAUAAAUUUCCACACAAAAUUAAGAAUACACAAAGGCAGGAUGAAUUAUUCCAUGUUUGAACAUCUGCAACAUAAAUGCAUAUGGCAAAAAGGCUCAAACCAUACCUUAAGUUCAUGAAUUCUCAUCAUCACAUGUUUAUAAAUGCAACUCAAACUUGAAUAAUUGAAUCUUUUGUAAUUCUACAUGUAUUUGUUUUUUUUUAUGGUGAGCAGUAUAAUGUUUACUAAAAAUUGAAAUUCAAGAAAGAAGACAUACAUAGUUGCACCAUUCAAGAUAAACUUACCUCGAGUAUUGAUACUCGGGUUGAAGUAUCGAUACCAAAUCUUUUUUAUCAUAUAUUUUUCAUUCACAAAAUUGGAUACAUUUUUUUACCAAAAUUUUGUAUUUCAUUUGAAUUCCCUAAACAACUGAGAAAAUUAAAAUUGAUGAGAUUAUAAAGUAGAUUGACUUAAUCUUCUUCCUUAUAAUACGUAAAGAAUGUGAGUGUCUAUUUACUUAGUAUGUAUGGCUGUCAAGCAAUGUAGAAAUUUGCACACAAAAGAACAAAUUUGUGGACUACUUAAAAAUUCAAAGCAUGUGUGGCCAAUAUUCAUUUAUUUUAUUGCAUAAAAUUCAAGGCAUGUGUGUUGAAUAAUUUUAUCCAAGAAGCAUAUUUUCCACAAAACUUUAAUCGGUUGGCAUUAAAUAUGUCAUUUUCUAUUAACUGCAAGAAAACUAUCCGGUAAACUACAUCUUCUUCUUUUAGAUAAAAUUUUGUAAAAAAAAAUUUGACAUUAUCACUUAUAUAGUUAUAUGGUCCUUCAAUUUUAUUUUUUUUAAAAAAAAAAGUAAUUUUAACUCUCCAUUUAAUAUUUCACCUCUUUGAGUUUUUAAAUUUGUGUUAUUUAUCAAAUCAUCCCAGAAUGUAUGAAAAAGUUAACAUUUGUUAACUUUAUUGACGGAACAUACAUAUCGAUAUCAUAUAAACAAUUAAUUGAUUUUUAAAUUUUAAAAAUUUUAAAAAUAAAACAUAUAUUAAAAUUUCUAAGAAAUGAGAAAAUUUGGAAGCAUUGCAAAAGAAUGUGCAAUAAUUCCAAACAAAUUAACGCAACAUUUUAGUUACCACUUAUAUAGUCCUUCAAUUUUAUUUAAAAAAAAUUAUUUUAACUCUGCAUUUAAUUUUUCGCCUCUUUAAACUUUUAAUUUGUGUUAUUUAUCAAAUCUUCCAAACAAAUUAACGCCGUAAUAACCCAUUUUUCCCGGCCCAUAAUUAACCAAAUUAAAAAAAACGAAAUAUAAAAUUUUAAUAACAGUCCACUACAAACACAAUAAGUAGCAGGCCCAAAACCCAAAUGCACUACCUAAUUACAAACCCAACUAAACCCUAACCCAAUACAAACCCCAAAAGCCCAGCUUGCAGCCCACAACACUAAAAACAAUAGAAACCCUAGCAACAGUUUCAGCCGCCGCAACAGUGGCCCCAGCGCUGCAGACUGUCCUCCGCGCGUGUCAAGCCUCCGCGCGCGUGCGCCUCCAAGCUAGCAUGUACCUGCAACGAACAAUAAACAGCAAGCAGCAAGAGAGGCAAAAUAACAGAUUGAUAGCUAAAAAAUAAAGAGUUUUUUUGUAUUUUUUCUUUUUUUCAUUUUUCGGUUAUAUAAAGCCACUUGUGAUACUGUAAAAGGGAUUACGCAUUCGAAAGAAAAAAAAAAGAAUCAAAUAGCAGCAUAAUUUUAAGGUGGUUUCCGAUUUCUACUUCUUUUUUUUUCUUUUUCCUUUGAUUUGUUUUUAUUUGUUGAUUAAAAGAUAAAAAAAAGGGAAGUUCUUACCUACAUAUUGCGCCGCCAGGAGCCUUCGUCCCUUCUGUUUCAAAUCGAAAUGGGGUGGGCAAUGGUCGAAUCAAAAGCGGCGCACAUAGGAUAGAUUUUAGGGUUGGUUAGAUUUUUUUUUUUUAGAAAUGGAGUGUCUGCUAAUGUUAACUUAUAUAUAGCGUAUGAAACGACGACAUUUGAUGCCAUUUUAGUGGUUUCAAAAUGGCGUCGUAUAGGGCCGAGAUCCGUGCGGUGACCCGACCCGGGGAGGAUCCGCGUGUUUUCACUUUGGUGGGAUAUUUGUGCGCUAGGUUCUCUACCUUUGCACUUUGUUUUAAUUCGGUUUAUUUUGAUUCUUCAAAUUGGGCUGCAUAAUUUCCUGCUGACUACAUUUUAGUCCAUUUGCAGCGGUGCGUUUUGGUGGGCAAGGAAUAUUUCCUAUUUUAGUCCCCAUGUUAUUCGCGGUUUGUAAUUUGGUCCUUUCCUUUUAUAUAUAUAAUAAUUUUAUAUAAUACUAUUUUAUAUAUAUAUAAUUUGUAUUAAGUUUUUUAUAUAUCAUCGAUUUCAUAUUUACGUAUUUUUCUACUUAUUUCAUAUAUAAUCUGUUUCAUUUAAAACUUUACUUUAUUAUAUACUUGAUUUAUAUCAACCUUUUAUACAUACUAUUAUACGUAUACGUAUAUUGUUUAUUUUAAAUUAAUAUGUAUAUAUUAUUUCAUGUAUUUCGGUUUUCUUCAUAUACAAUAUUCACUUUAAAAUUCAUUUUAAUAUUAUUUUUUUCGUAGUAUUUAUUUUUUAUCUUCAUUUUUGACUUAUUUCAAACUCAUAUAUGUAUAUCUAUUAUCUUUGCUAAUGUGCAUACAUAUGCAACUUCAUUUAAAUAUAAAAAAUCUAAAAAUAAUUAAAUAUGUAUAAAUCUAAAAAUAUCUUAAAAUUAAAACUAAAAAAUUUUAAACUAAUGCAAAUUUUUAUUAUUUAAAAAAUCUUAAAAUUUUCAAAUUAAAUUCCAUUUGUUUUCCACCGUUGAAGAACACCUUCAAUCACAUUAACAACUUCAUGCUAUUUUGCCUAGAAAUUAUUUUGCAAAUUUAUUUUGUUUUAUUUAUUUCUAAAUCCAUAUUUCUUUUCUGUAACUCCAAUUAUUAGAUUGUUUAGGGUUUUGAGUAACUUUCGAUUUUGGAAUUUUAGAUUUUUAAAUUUAAAUACGAAGUGCUCUUCUUCUUCUCCAAACCCACAAAUUUUCUACCAAAUUUCAACUCAAGGUUUUACUUUCAGCUAUAAAUAAAACAUAUAUUAUAUUUAUAAUGACCUAAGAAUAGUAGAGUCGACGCCGAUCUACAUGAAAAAGGAGGGAAAAAAACAGGCAAAGAAAGAUGAUAUGAAGAGAGCAUAAAUCAAUAAAGCAAAUGAAAAACGAGUAGAAUUAAAGUAAAUGGGUAUUUAAUAUUUUUUUGUGAAAGUUCAAAGACUAAUUAUGUAUGAGCUUGGAUGUGGAAAAAUUAGUUGGAAAUUUUUUUUCUUGCACCAAUUGAUUUUUUUUAUAUAGAAUUUGUAUUUAUUUUUUAAGAUUUUUAAAUUUUGUUACAAUUAUUUUUAUGAAAAUUUGAAAAUAUAAAAAUACUUUUUGAACUAUAAUUCAAGGAUUAAAUUAGCUAUUAAUCAUUUGAAUAAAUAAAACAUAUACAUGAAUUAAGUAAUUAAUCCACAAGCAAUGUUGGACAUUUUCAUAAUGCCAAAUUUCACUUCAGAUUUAGUUACCCAUAAUCAUAUUUAAACAAACAAAAACAUAACAAUCACACAAAAUAGGCAUAACUAGAAAACAUGAGAAAAAUGAGAAAAGCUUGAAAACAAUUACAAUGGUAGCAAAGGAAAUGUAAAAAAAAAAACUUAAAAAUCAGAUUUUUAAUGAUGAAGGGAAUUGAUCAUUUAUAUUAAAACCAAGGAUUAAACUGAAAAUACAAAGAGUUGAAGGUACUAAACUAGCAAACAAACCCUAGCUGCAAUGUUAAUUAACUUAACUAACUACUAUUGGAACCAAGAAAAACUAAAAGAAAACAUGAAUUACACCCUAGAGUUAUGGAGAAGAAAACAAAAACUCUAAAAAUAAAGAGGAAAUUUGAAAACCAUGAAAUGUUAAGUGUGCCUUUUGUUCAGCCAAUUUUUUGCCCUUUCUAGAAUUACAGAUCCAAAAAUAGUGGCCAAAUUGUCCUUGAUCGUUUAAUUUUGGUUAGGGGACAUGUUGGAAACGGAUUACCCAUACGGUUAUAUUUUGUCUCCUCUCAUCAAUGAUAUUGCCAUACCCAAAGUUUGGUAUCGCGAUAUCCACAACAAUCUUGGGGAUCCUUAGGAGUUUUGAGUAUCGCGAUACCUUAUGACUGGUAUCAUGAUAGCACUGUUGAUGGCUCAAUCUUCCUUGUUUUUAACAUUGUUAUGGGUGUUACGACUUUCAAUCUUCCUUAUUUUUAACAUUGUUAUGCAAUACCCUCUUUCUAGGUGACAUUUUCGCUCCUUCCGGGUCACCAUGGGCUCUCUGCAUCACUCACCAAUCACAUUAGAUUCCCCGGGUGCCAUUUGACCAUCUCAGGUCUCAAAAUAGCAUCAAAAUGCACACUAAUCAUUUAUUAAUAUAAAUAACUAAAACUAAAUAAAAACACAACAAAGAUAUCUAAAUUGCUCGAAAAUAAGCUUUUAAGUGUGAUGGAGAGCCUAAUUUGACAUAUCAAUUUACAGCAUGUCAUAAAUAUAAUUUGCGGAACCUUGUUAAAAUUUUGGGUUUCUUUAUUAGUUUUCUUUCAAUAUUCUGUAUGGUACAUUUGUAUUAAUAUAUUGUGCAGAUCAUAGACUAAAUUGCUUUAUUAGUUUUCUAUUGUUAAUCUCACUUUUUAUUAAUUAAGGAAUACGAAUUAGAAUUAAUAUGAAAUUACUAUUUCAACAUUUCAUAAGAAAAAGCUAAAAUAAUAUUUGUCAUAUCCCAUAUGCUCAUAUAUAGCUUGUCGAAACCAUUUUCUUGUAAAAGGGGGGUUGACUUUGGUUUUAAAACGAAAAUUGGAGUCGUCACCGAUUAUUUUUAUGAGGUGUAAUCGGGUCACCUCGUAACGGUUUAAUUUAUAACAAUUUUGGUCUACGAAAUUUAGAAGAAAAAAAGGGGUUCGGGAGUCGGUUACGUACGAGGAAGGAUUAGCACCCUCAUAAUGUCCAAAAUUGGUACCUAAUUGAUUACUUAAUGUCUUAAUGUCGAAAAUUAAAAAUUCGAAAAGAAUUUAAAAUAAGAUCCCUGUUUAUUAAUGUUAUUUAUUUUAAAAGAAUUUGCUUGAAUAAGUUGCAAUGAAUGUCAAAGACCCUCCCGUCUCGAGAUAACUAGUGUCACGUCCCGUAAGUGAGGAUACGACGCUUGGAAACCUAGAGAAUAAGCCUGGCUUUAACUCUUACUGAGAUUUCGUGUGUUUUGAAAUUUAAAAGGAUAUUUUGUUAUUUAGGUUUAACGAGAAAAUCGAAACCUCGUAAGUUAGGGUACGAUUUUUCUCGAAUUUUCAAAACGCAAAAUUUUUUUUUUGAAUUUAAGUAAAAACUAAUGUAAUAUGUAAUAAGAUAUGUGUUUAAUUUAUUCAAACAUCGCCUGAAAGUGAACAAAUAAUUUUAAAAAAAAUGAUGUAUAAUGCAACAUAUUAACUACUACAACGAAAGUGAAAUGCAAUGAAAGUCAUGAAAUCGAAAGAUUAUCGAGACUAAAUUGAAAGUCAUGAAAGAAGACAUAAACAACACCACCAUACAAAAUGUUACACUCAAACAAACCAUUACAGAUAGUACGAAAUGAAAUGGAAAGACACAGGAAUUGGCACAAUAAUAAAGACAGACACAUACAAAUGCAAACCAUAGGCAAAACGGUCUACAGAACAAGAAAUUGUGAAAAUACAACACUAAUUCUUGAACAGCAUUUGCAGUAAUUAGAUCCUUCUUCGCCUAUUGCUUCGAUUGCCUUUAUUUGACUUUCUUCUUCGCCUCUUCUCUUGUUGGUUUUCAACCAAAUUCACCAACCAUUUUGGCUUUCCAGUUUGGAAAACAACAAAUCCCACGGACAUUCCGAACACCACUCCGCAUCCAUAGCCUAUCAACCCCACUUUCCAACCAAAAGCAAUGUUUGAUUUUGAGCCAUCUUUUUCAAGCACAUUUGGAGGUGCUGGCUUAAUGAUGUUGCAACCUUUAGAGACCGGAAAUCCACAUAGUCCCUUAUUUCCUUCAUAUGAAUCAUUUCCAAAUGUGUUGAACUGUUUGCCUUGAGGAAUCUGACCAUGGAGUUGAUUUUCAGAAACAUUGAAGGACGAAAGAAAUGGCAGAUCUACCAAUCUAUUUGGAAUCCUCCCAGACAAACUGUUUGAAGAUAGGUCCAACCAUUCAAGACUUGUCAAAUUCCCUAUUGAGGUGGGGAUACCACCAUUAAGGUUAUUAUGAGAAAGGUUGAGCCCUUUCAGUAAGUUAAGCUUCCCAAAAACCUCUGGAAUACACCCUUCAAACUGAUUGUUUGAUAGAUCAAUGAUCAUCCACAUGGUGAAAAUUUUCACCAAUUCCAUAUAUUGUCCUUUCAUAACAAUUCCGAUGGAAUAGGUAUAGAAGCCGCGACCUCCAGGAUCAUUCACCCCCAUGUACGACUCUAUAAUACCAAUCUUCUCUAGAUUUAUGAUAGCCUUGAAGCUGUUGAUGUAUCUCACUGGUAGGGGUCCAGAAAAAUAAUUACUUGAGAGGUCAAAAAUUUGGACUUUAGAGAAAAAAGGGCUAGACUUGGAGCUAUUGACACAUAAGGAACCACGCAUAUGAUUUGACUUCAAUACAAGAACUUGUAGCUGUGGAAGACUUCCCAACCAAUGAGGAAAUGUAUCAUUGAUCUUGUUGUUACCAAGAUCUAGCACUUCCAGACCAUUACAAUUAAGGAUGGAUGGUGUCAAAGGCCCUUCUAACAGAUUUCCAUUUAAGUUGAAAUUACUCAAUCGGCAUCCCUUUGCAAAUGUUGGAGGAAUCGUCCCAUAGAACUUGUUCUUCUUCAAAUUCAAGAAUUCGAGGCUGUUGCUCAAAUUUCCAAAACAUUGCGGAAUUGUUCCACUCAAGUUAUUGUGGGACAAAUCAAGAAUUCGAAGAGAAGUGACAUUGCAGAUUACAGAAGAGACCUCUCCAUUGAAACUAUUAUUUGAGAUCAGAAAGACAUCGAUCGUGGAAGCUGGAAUCGGAAGAUUUCCACGGAUCAAAUUGGAGCUUAAGUCAAGAACUGCAAUAUUCUUCCACGGGAAGUGCUCAACUUCUGUCAAAGAGUUGUGAGAUACAUUUAAGUAAGUCAAAGAGCCAUUCCCCACCUCUUGCAUCCACUGUGGAAUCUUGCCUUCAAUUUUGUUGCAAGAGAGGUCUAAGCUUUCCAAACUUUUAAGCCCUUUCAAAAAUUGGGGGAAUUCACUAAGAUUGCAAGAUGACAAAAAUAACCUUGUAAGAUUAAUAGUAGAAGUAGUGUUAGAUGUUAAGGAUAGGCUGUUAUAUGAAAGGUCGAGAUAUUUGAGAUUUGGAAGGUUUGAGAACAUGCUAAACUCUAUGACACCACUAAGAGUAUUUGAGGAUAAGCUGAGGCCGGUAAGAUUGAGAAGUUGGGAUAUUGAAGAUGGAAGAGGACCUUGGAGUUUAUUAUUCUCUAAGCGUAUCAAUUCUAGUGAUUUGGAUUGAAAUUCUUUGAUAUGCCCACUGAAUUGAUUUUGAGAGAGAUCUAUUGUCUUUAAGGAGGGAGCAGCAUAUAACCAUGACGGAAGUGUUCCAUUGAGUAAAUUGUCAGAUAAGGCUAAAGAUAUUAGAUUAGGAAAAGCGGUUACGUCAUCUGGAAUGGAACCUUCUAAACAAUUAUUAGAUAUUUCCAAGUAUUCCAGCUGCGUUAGGUUUAGAAUUGACAAUGGAAUUUGUCCACUCAAUUUGUUCCCUGACAAGUCUAAAUAAGUGAGUUGCAAGAGGUUCCCCAAUGAUAUUGGAACCGGUCCUGAUAAGUCGGAAAAGGAGAGAUCUAAAAACUUCAAGGACACAAGAUUCCCCAUCAAGUCAGGCAAUCCUCCAAAAUCAUUUGCGCCUGAAAUUAUCAAUUGCUCCAAAGAUGAUAAAUUUGUGAUUGAGACAGACAAUCCUUGAAAGAAAAAAUUUCCUGAUAGAUCUAAGUACUUUAAGGCCUGUAGAUUAUCAACUGAAUCAAUGAAUUCUGUAGUGGGGGACAUCCACGACAGAUCCAAAUGUUCAAGAUUGUUGCUCCGAUUCAACUUCAAAGGAUCAAGAUUGAGGACUGGGUUGCCUCCCAAGUUGAGGAGAUUGAGGUUUGGCAAUUCAAAAAUGUUUUUUGGGAAUUUUCCUUGCAAAUCACAAUAAGCAAGACUGAGAGACCUUAGAGAAGAGGAUAGAUUCAUGAAGACAUGAGCAUUAACAGAAGACAUGUCCAUUCCAUCCAAAAACAGAUGUCUGACCUCGGAUAGGUUGUGAACAAGUCCCUUCAGAUCAUGUUUGUCAAUUGUAAAUUGCUCAUGGACAUAAAUCAAAGCGGAGAGAUCAAGUGAAACCAAUUUUGACAGGCGGGAGACUUGGGAUGGGACUUCUCCUGCAAACCCUGUACGAGAAAGGUUGAGGUAUAAUAGGCUUGUAAACCGACCGAACUCGGAUGGAAUUCUGGAAAGAUUAAAAUCAUUGUAGGCAAGGUUGAGUUUUUGAAGGUGAGGAAGAAGAAAGAGAGUGGUAUUGGAAGGGAAGUUGCCAUAUAGCCAACUGCAGCUCAAGUCAAGGGCAAUAACAUGAGCAUUUAGGUGGUCACAAGUGACCCCAUCCCAUGAGCAGCAAUCUGUACCCUCCUUCCAUGAAUUUGUCUUGGGAUAAGAUUUAAGGCCAGCAAUCUCAUCG